This 350-nucleotide unclassified non-coding RNA is filed under the name Zanthoxylum holtzianum. Its description in RNAcentral is "partial external transcribed spacer". The record is from RNAcentral. Lineage: Eukaryota; Viridiplantae; Streptophyta; Magnoliopsida; Sapindales; Rutaceae.
GGUAUCCUGUGUUGCUUACCCACGGAAAGGAAUUCGACGGCUGUGGUGUCCCCAUCCGCCCAGCGCCCUUUGGGGGCGUGGGGCGGACGCGAGGCGGGCUCCGUGUUUCCCGGCGCGCCGAGUGCGUUGUCGCUCGGCCGCCGCGGCCCAUGGGGUCUCGGCCCGUGCUCUCGGAUGCGGAAAGCUGUGUGUGCGGGCGCGGUGGGGCCUCGGCCUCCGCCCGUCCGAACGGCACGCAAUGUCCCUCGGUGCGAAYGACCGCGCGCGCCCGUCUUGAUCGGCCGACCGGGUCCCCGUCGCGGGGCUGCGGGAGGGCGGCUCAUGCGGGCGCGGGCGUCGGAUAGGAAUGC